UGCUAGGCAUAGGGUCCCUGGGCUGGAACUCAAGAGUAGUGGGUGGGCCAGGGUUCCCCUGCCAAUCACUGGGAAAGUGGCACUGGACCUGGACUUGGAUCAGACAACUGCCUGAUACAACAUAUGGACACCUUGCCCAGGUGACUCUGAACUCCUGGGAGGGGAGGACCAAAUAGUGACCUGGCUGGAGUCACGAAGAGGGAACAGCCUGAGUCCCAGAGUGAGAGAGGGGCCACAGGGCGAGGAACCAGCAGAAGGGGGUACCAGACCAGGCAAGAGCUAAUCCUCAGGGCCCAGUGAAUUUGCUGAGCCCCAGAAUGUUAGGAAGAUUCAGAGGGAAGCACGGAAACCGUCCCAAAGGACUGAUGACUUGGCACUGCCUGGUUAGGAUGAUUUAAAUUAUCCAUUAAAAGUAAGGCUCUGGGUGAAAUGUAUGGAAGUCGGCGAGAGAUUCCCCAGCUAUGACUAAAGAAAAAUGGUCCUGGAUGCCCAAACGGGCUUGAAAGCAGAUCAGAAAUUUGAGGACAGCUCUUUGCAAGUGGAGUCAAUCCCAGGGGAAGAUUUUGGGAGAGUUUGACAGUGAACCUAAGCUUGGGUUAUGGCUUCUGUGCCAAAAAGUGAGGACAAAUCCUACAUCUGGCAGACACCUGUCUGCCUUCAGUGAUAUGUAGCUUGAACCUCAAGAGUGUCUGCUAGAAAUUGAGCAGAUGGGAGUGGUAAAGUGCUUUUUACCAGAGAUGCAUCCAAUCUUCAAAAUACAUGACUUGAAUAAAAAAUCUGGAGUUCAGAGGUGCUGUUUUGGUACAGUCCUUCAGUAUGGGCAGCCAAAAACUCCAGCCUUGGAAAUGAAUUUGCCUGAAAUUCGGAUG
Molecule: long non-coding RNA, 869 nt
Organism: Mauremys reevesii (Reeves's turtle)
Lineage: Eukaryota; Metazoa; Chordata; Testudines; Geoemydidae
Exons: 4
Source: RefSeq, a predicted model, not a curated record